UCAGACCUGAGUGUGGCAGGACCACCCGCUAAACUUAAGCAUAUUACUCAGCGGAGGAAAAGAAAACAA
This 69-nucleotide ribosomal RNA is filed under the name Trypanosoma evansi evansi. RNAcentral describes it as "partial 28S ribosomal RNA". It matches the Rfam family "Eukaryotic large subunit ribosomal RNA", at positions 1 to 68 of the family's 3401-position model. Lineage: Eukaryota; Euglenozoa; Kinetoplastea; Trypanosomatida; Trypanosomatidae. The record is from RNAcentral.